RNAcentral lists this ribosomal RNA (347 nucleotides) under uncultured bacterium. RNAcentral's name for it is "partial 16S ribosomal RNA". It matches the Rfam family "Bacterial small subunit ribosomal RNA", at positions 338 to 682 of the family's 1533-position model. The record is from RNAcentral.
CCUACGGGGGGCAGCAGUGAGGAAUAUUGGUCAAUGGACGAGAGUCUGAACCAGCCAAGUAGCGUGAAGGAUGACUGCCCUAUGGGUUGUAAACUUCUUUUAUAUGGGAAUAAAAUGUGCCACGUGUGGGAUUUUGUAUGUACCAUAUGAAUAAGGAUCGGCUAACUCCGUGCCAGCAGCCGCGGUAAUACGGAGGAUCCGUGCGGUAUCCGGAUUUAUUGGGGUUAAAGGGAGCGUAGGUGGAUUGUUAAGGAAGUGGUGAAAGUUUGCGGCUCAACCGUAAAAUUGCAGUUGAAACUGGCAGUCUUGAGUACAGUAGAGGUGGGCGGAAUUCGUGGUGUAGCGGU